RNAcentral lists this ribosomal RNA (433 nucleotides) under uncultured bacterium. RNAcentral describes it as "partial 16S ribosomal RNA". It matches the Rfam family "Bacterial small subunit ribosomal RNA", at positions 29 to 507 of the family's 1533-position model. The record is from RNAcentral.
AACGAACGCUGGCGGCAUGCCUAACACAUGCAAGUCGAACGAAGGCUUCGGCCUUAGUGGCGCACGGGUGCGUAACGCGUGGGAAUCUGCCCUUUGGUUCGGAAUAACAGCUGGAAACGGCUGCUAAUACCGGAUGAUGACGAAAGUCCAAAGAUUUAUCGCCAGAGGAUGAGCCCGCGUUGGAUUAGGUAGUUGGUGGGGUAAAGGCCUACCAAGCCGACGAUCCAUAGCUGGUCUGAGAGGAUGAUCAGCCACACUGGGACUGAGACACGGCCCAGACUCCUACGGGAGGCAGCAGUGGGGAAUAUUGGACAAUGGGCGCAAGCCUGAUCCAGCAAUGCCGCGUGAGUGAUGAAGGCCCUAGGGUUGUAAAGCUCUUUUACCCGGGAAGAUAAUGACUGUGCCGGGAGAAUAAGCCCCGGCUAACUCCGUG